RNAcentral lists this ribosomal RNA (468 nucleotides) under uncultured bacterium. Its description in RNAcentral is "partial 16S ribosomal RNA". It matches the Rfam family "Bacterial small subunit ribosomal RNA", at positions 28 to 507 of the family's 1533-position model. The record is from RNAcentral.
GACGAACGCUGGCGGCGUGCUUAACACAUGCAAGUCGAACGGAAAGGCCCUGCUUUUGUGGGGUGCUCGAGUGGCGAACGGGUGAGUAACACGUGAGUAACCUGCCCUUGACUUUGGGAUAACUUCAGGAAACUGGGGCUAAUACCGGAUAGGAUCUCCUGCUGCAUGGUGGGGGUUGGAACGUUUCGGCGGUUGGGGAUGGACUCGCGGCUUAUCAGCUUGUUGGUGGGGUAGUGGCUUACCAAGCCUUUGACGGGUAGCCGGCCUGAGAGGGUGACCGGCCACAUUGGGACUGAGAUACGGCCCAGACUGCUACGGGAGGCAGCAGUGGGGAAUAUUGCACAAUGGGCGGAAGCCUGAUGCAGCAACGCCGCGGGCGGGAUGACGGCCUUCGGGUUGUAAACCGCUUUCGCCUGUGACGAAGCGUGAGUGACGGUAAUGGGUAAAGAAGCACCGGCUAACUACGUG